UACGUAGGUGGCAAGCGUUAUCCGGAAUUAUUGGGCGUAAAGCGCUCGCAGGCGGUUUCUUAAGUCUGAUGUGAAAGCCCACGGCUCAACCGUGGAGGGUCAUUGGAAACUGGGAGACUUGAGUGCAGAAGAGGAGAGUGGAAUUCCACGUGUAGCGGUGAAAUGCGCAGAUAUCGGGAGGAACACCAAUUGCGAAGGCAGCUUGCUGGGACGGUACUGACGCUGAGGAGCGAAAGCGUGGGUAGCAAACAGG
RNAcentral lists this ribosomal RNA (253 nucleotides) under uncultured bacterium. Its description in RNAcentral is "partial 16S ribosomal RNA". It matches the Rfam family "Bacterial small subunit ribosomal RNA", at positions 524 to 776 of the family's 1533-position model. The record is from RNAcentral.